AUGCGCAUCGCUGGUGACUGGCGAGAGUUUACCCGGAGAACGAACGUGGCAGAUCCGACGAGCCAGCCGAGUCAAUCCGCCGGCCACCGACGAAGCUUCCUUCGUUCCCUCCGCCCGACCCGCGAUCUCGAUUGGGGAAUGGGGAUGGAGGAGGAGGAGGGCGCCAUCAACGGCGGCGAGGAGGGCCCCGGCCUCGCGGCGGCGCCGCACGACCGCUGGGUCCUGCUCCGCCCCGCCCAGGGCUCCCCCCGCCCCUCCGCCCGCUACAAGCAUGCCGCGGAGGUGGUUCAAGACAAGCUGUAUGUGGUCGGGGGAAGCCGGAAUGGACGCUCUCUGUCGGAUGUUCAGGUCUUUGAUUUCAGGACAUCCAAGUGGUCAGCGUUGCUGUUAAGUCCUAGUCGGGAUUCAAACCAGCUGAAUCUUGAAAAUAAUGCCGGAAACCAGCCGUUCCCAGCAUUAGCAAGCCAUAGUAUGGUCAAGUGGAGGAAUAUGCUUCUGGUUGUAGCUGGGAACUCCAGAGCAUCAACAUCGAAUAAGGUUUCAGUUUGGUUUAUCGAUCUGGAAACAAAUAGCUGGUCUGCUGUUGAUACAUAUGGAAAAGUCCCAAUGGCUCGAGGUGGGCAAUCUGUAACACUAGUCGGUUCUCGAUUAAUAAUGUUUGGUGGAGAGGAUAAUAAGAGGAGGCUUCUGAGUGAUCUUCAUGUACUUGACUUGGAGACAAUGAUUUGGGAAGAAGUUAAAACAGAAAAAGGUGGCCCAGCUCCUAGGUAUGACCAUUCGGCUGCUGUUUAUGCUGAACAUUAUCUUUUAAUCUUUGGCGGUUCCUCUCACUCCACAUGCUUCAACGAUAUGUACUUACUUGACUUGCAAACUCUGGAGUGGUCUCAACCUGACACUCAAGGUGCACAUAUAACUCCUAGGAGUGGUCAUGCUGGUAUGAUGAUUGACGAAAAUUGGUACAUAGUUGGUGGUGGAGAUAAUGCCAGUGGUUCCACUGAUACAAUCGUAAUGAACGCUUCCAAGUUUGUCUGGUCUGUGGUCACUAGUGUGUCAGUUCGAGAUCCACUUGCUUGUGAGGGUCUCACUCUUUGUUCAGCCACAGUUGAUGGCGAAAAGUUCCUAAUUGCCUUUGGCGGUUACAACGGGAAGUACAACAAUGAGAUCUUUGUGAUGAAACCCAAGCCAAGAAACUUUGUGCAACCUCGUCUUUUCCAAUCUCCAGCAGCUGCUGCCGCUGCAGCUUCUGUGAAAGCUGCCUAUGCUGUAAUAACUGCUACUGAUGAGAAAACUAAAGAUAUUGUUGCUACUGAUGAUUUGGAUGUGAAAAGAGCUGAACCUGGAAGUUCUUCCAAACAAAUGGUUGCCGAAAUUGAUGCACUUAAUGGGGAGAAAGGAGAACUAGAGUCUCGACUGGCAGAAGUUCGCAGUGAAAACUCAAAGCUAAAGGAUAAACUAGAUAUGGUGAAGUUGUCCUAUGGUGAAUUAACAAAGGAACUCAGAUCAGUUGAGAAUCAGCUAGCUGCUGAGGGUUCAAGAUGCCAGAAACUGGAGUCCCAAAUUGCUGCUGCGCAUAAAAGGUUGGAGUCUGCCAGUUCUCUGGAGAAUGAACUGGAAGCCUUGCAGCAACAAAUAUCUCAGGCUGAACAAACCAUGACGACUUCUCAGAGACGGAAAUCUGGGGGCGUAUGGAAGUGGGUGGGAGGAAGUGCAGAGGUCUCCGACAAUGAAUAG
RNAcentral lists this ribosomal RNA (1731 nucleotides) under Triticum aestivum (bread wheat). Its description in RNAcentral is "partial small subunit ribosomal RNA". Lineage: Eukaryota; Viridiplantae; Streptophyta; Magnoliopsida; Poales; Poaceae. The record is from RNAcentral.